This is a small nucleolar RNA of Meriones unguiculatus (Mongolian gerbil), 136 nucleotides long. The record is from Ensembl. Lineage: Eukaryota; Metazoa; Chordata; Mammalia; Rodentia; Muridae.
ACUGACUGUAGAAGUGUUGUUUGCAAGUCAGGCUGCUAUGUCACAUGUGCAUGAGUUGGUGGCACAGAGGAGUGAGUUUGUGGCUAUGCUCAGUGUUCUGACCUAUUAAUAGUUGAAUGAUUAGUAGUUUAACAUU